UACGAAGGGGGCUAGCGUUGCUCGGAAUUACUGGGCGUAAAGGGCGCGUAGGCGGAUACUUAAGUUGGAUGUGAAAUCCCUAGGCUCAACCUAGGAAUUGCAUUCAAGACUGCUGAGCUAGAUGCCUGGAGAGGUGAGUGGAAUUCCCAGUGUAGAGGUGAAAUUCGUAGAUAUUGGGAAGAACACCAGUGGCGAAGGCGGCUCACUGGCCAGGUUAUGACGCUGAGGCGCGAAAGUGUGGGGAGCAAACAGG
RNAcentral lists this ribosomal RNA (253 nucleotides) under uncultured bacterium. RNAcentral describes it as "partial 16S ribosomal RNA". It matches the Rfam family "Bacterial small subunit ribosomal RNA", at positions 524 to 776 of the family's 1533-position model. The record is from RNAcentral.